GACGAACGCUGGCGGCGUGCUUAACACGUGCAAGUCGAACGGGUCUGCCCUGUUUUUUGCGGGGUGGGUCAGUGGCGAACGGGUGAGUAACACGUGAGUAACCUGCCCCUCACUUCUGGAUAACCGCUUGAAAGGGUGGCUAAUACGGGGUGUUCUGGCUGUGCCGCAUGGUGUGGCUGGGAAAGAUUCACUUUUGUGGUGUUUUGGUGGGGGAUGGGCUCGCGGCCUAUCAGCUUGUUGGUGGGGUGAUGGCCUGCCAAGGCUUUGACGGGUAGCCGGCCUGAGAGGGUGGGCGGUCACACUGGGACUGAGAUACGGCCCAGACUCCUGCGGGAGGCAGCAGUGGGGGGUAUUGCACAAUGGGCGGAAGCCUGAUGCAGCGACGUCGCGUGAGGGAUGGAGGCCUUCGGGUUGUGAACCUCUUUCGCCGGUGAAGAAGGUCCUGCUCUUUGUGGUGGGGUUGACGGUAGCCGGGUUAUGAAGCGCCGGCUAACUACGUG
Molecule: ribosomal RNA, 500 nt
Filed under: uncultured bacterium
Lineage: Bacteria
Description: partial 16S ribosomal RNA
Rfam family: Bacterial small subunit ribosomal RNA
Source: RNAcentral